RNAcentral lists this ribosomal RNA (484 nucleotides) under uncultured bacterium. RNAcentral's name for it is "partial 16S ribosomal RNA". It matches the Rfam family "Bacterial small subunit ribosomal RNA", at positions 30 to 507 of the family's 1533-position model. The record is from RNAcentral.
AUUGAACGCUGGCGGCAGGCCUAACACAUGCAAGUCGAGCGGAUGAAGGGAGCUUGCUCCUGGAUUCAGCGGCGGACGGGUGAGUAAUGCCUAGGAAUCUGCCUGGUAGUGGGGGAUAACGUCCGGAAACGGGCGCUAAUACCGCAUACGUCCUGAGGGAGCAAGUGGGGGAUCUUCGGACCUCACGCUAUCAGAUGAGCCUAGGUCGGAUUAGCUAGUUGGUGGGGUAAGGGGCUACCAAGGCGACGAUCCGUAACUGGUCUGAGAGGAUGAUCAGUCACACUGGAACGGAGACACGGUCAAGACUCCUACGGGAGGCAGCAGUGGGGAAUAUUGGACAAUGGGCGAAAGCCUGAUCCAGCCAUGCCGCGUGUGUGAAGAAGGUCUUCGGAUUGUAAAGCACUUUAAGUUGGGAGGAAGGGCAGUAAGUUAAUACCUUGCUGUUGUGACGUUACCAACAGAAUAAGCACCGGCUAACUUCGUG